RNAcentral lists this small nuclear RNA (161 nucleotides) under Solanum lycopersicum (tomato). Its description in RNAcentral is "U1 spliceosomal RNA". It matches the Rfam family "U1 spliceosomal RNA". From Rfam's summary of the family: U1 is a small nuclear RNA (snRNA) component of the spliceosome (involved in pre-mRNA splicing). Lineage: Eukaryota; Viridiplantae; Streptophyta; Magnoliopsida; Solanales; Solanaceae. The record is from Rfam by way of RNAcentral.
AUACUUACCUGGACGGGGUCAAUGGGUGAUCAAUAAGACCCAUGGCCUAGGCUUGUGACCUCUAUUGCACUUUGGAGGGGUGCUUGCCUAAGGUCGGCCCAAGUGGUUGAGCCUACGUCAUAAUUUGUUGCUAUGGGGGCUUGCAUUCGCGCAGCCCCUAC